RNAcentral lists this ribosomal RNA (495 nucleotides) under uncultured bacterium. RNAcentral's name for it is "partial 16S ribosomal RNA". It matches the Rfam family "Bacterial small subunit ribosomal RNA", at positions 28 to 507 of the family's 1533-position model. The record is from RNAcentral.
GACGAACGCUGGCGGCGUGCCUAAUACAUGCAAGUAGAACGCUGAAGGAGGAGCUUGCUUCUCUGGAUGAGUUGCGAACGGGUGAGUAACGCGUAGGUAACCUGCCUGGUAGCGGGGGAUAACUAUUGGAAACGAUAGCUAAUACCGCAUAAUAGCAGUUAUUGCAUGAUAACUGUUUGAAAGGUGCAAUUGCACCACUACCAGAUGGACCUGCGUUGUAUUAGCUAGUUGGUGGGGUAACGGCUCACCAAGGCGACGAUACAUAGCCGACCUGAGAGGGUGAUCGGCUACACUGGGACUGAGACACGGCCCAGACUCCUACGGGAGGCAGCAGUAGGGAAUCUUCGGCAAUGGACGGAAGUCUGACCGAGCAACGCCGCGUGAGUGAAGAAGGUUGUCGGAUCGUAAAGCUCUGUUGUAAGAGAAGAACGAGUGUGAGAGUGGAAAGUUCACACUGUGACGGUAUCUUACCAGAAAGGGACGGCUAACUACGUG